RNAcentral lists this ribosomal RNA (465 nucleotides) under uncultured bacterium. Its description in RNAcentral is "partial 16S ribosomal RNA". It matches the Rfam family "Bacterial small subunit ribosomal RNA", at positions 338 to 795 of the family's 1533-position model. The record is from RNAcentral.
CCUACGGGUGGCAGCAGUAGGGAAUCUUCCACAAUGGGCGAAAGCCUGAUGGAGCAACGCCGCGUGGGUGAAGAAGGUCUUCGGAUCGUAAAACCCUGUUGUUAGAGAAGAAAGUGCGUGAGAGUAACUGUUCACGUUUCGACGGUAUCUAACCAGAAAGCCACGGCUAACUACGUGCCAGCAGCCGCGGUAAUACGUAGGUGGCAAGCGUUAUCCGGAUUUAUUGGGCGUAAAGGGAACGCAGGCGGUACGUAAAGUCUGGUGUUAAAGGCAGAGGCUCAACUUCUGUACGGCACUGGAUACUUGCGAGCUAGAAUGCGGUAGAGGUAAAGGGAAUUCCUGGUGUAGCGGUGAAAUGCUUAGAUAUCAGGAGGAACAUCGGUGGCGUAAGCGCUUUACUGGGCCGUAAUUGACGCUGAGGAACGAAAGCCAGGGUAGCAAAUGGGAUUAGAUACCCCAGUAGUC